RNAcentral lists this ribosomal RNA (252 nucleotides) under uncultured bacterium. Its description in RNAcentral is "partial 16S ribosomal RNA". It matches the Rfam family "Bacterial small subunit ribosomal RNA", at positions 524 to 776 of the family's 1533-position model. The record is from RNAcentral.
UACGGAGGAUGCGAGCGUUAUCCGGAUUUAUUGGGUUUAAAGGGUGCGUAGGCGGGCUGUUAUGUCAGCGGUAAAAGCCCGGGGCUCAACCCCGGCGAGCCGUUGAAACUGGCUGUCUUGAGAUGUCGAGAGGUAUGCGGAAUGCGCAGUGUAGCGGUGAAAUGCUUAGAUAUUGCGCAGAACUCCGAUUGCGAAGGCAGCAUACCGGCGGCGAUCUGACGCUGAGGCACGAAAGCGUGGGUAUCGAACAGG